ACAAGCAGCGGAGCGUGUGGUUUAAUUCGAUGCAACGCGAAGAACCUUACCAGGGUUUGACAUGCUUAAAGUAGAAACUCGAAAGAGGGACGACCUGUAUCCAGUCAGGAAUUUGCACAGGUGCUGCAUGGCUGUCGUCAGCUCGUGCCGUGAGGUGUUAGGUUAAGUCCUGCAACGAGCGCAACCCUCGUCGCUAGUUAUUUUCUCUAGCGAUACUGCCCGUAUAACGUGGAGGAAGGUGGGGAUGACGUCAAGUCAGCAUGGCCCUUACAUCCUGGGCUACACACACGCUACAAUGGGUGAUACAAAAGGUUGCGAUAGAGCGAUCUGGAGCCAAUCCCCAAAAUCAUCCUCAGUACGGAUUGCAGGCUGCAACUGCCUGCAUGAAGUUGGAGUUGCUAGUAAACGCAGGUCAGCACACUGCGUUGAAUACGUUCUCGGGCCUU
Molecule: ribosomal RNA, 446 nt
Filed under: uncultured Chloroflexota bacterium
Lineage: Bacteria; Bacillati; Chloroflexota
Description: bacterial SSU rRNA
Rfam family: Bacterial small subunit ribosomal RNA
Source: RNAcentral